UACGUAGGGGGCAAGCGUUAUCCGGAUUUACUGGGUGUAAAGGGAGCGUGGACGGCAGAGCAAGUCCGGAGUGAAAGCCCGGGGCCCAACCCCGGGACUGCUCUGGAAACUGUUAAGCUGGAGUGCGGGAGGGGCAGGCGGAAUUCCUGGUGUAGCGGUGAAAUGCGUAGAUAUCAGGAGGAACACCGGCGGCGAAGGCGGCCUGCUGGACCGUGACUGACGUUGAGGCUCGAAAGCGUGGGGAGCAAACAGG
This 253-nucleotide ribosomal RNA is filed under the name uncultured bacterium. RNAcentral describes it as "partial 16S ribosomal RNA". It matches the Rfam family "Bacterial small subunit ribosomal RNA", at positions 524 to 776 of the family's 1533-position model. The record is from RNAcentral.